Long non-coding RNA from Apis florea (little honeybee), 1354 nucleotides. The record is from RefSeq and is a predicted model, not a curated record. Lineage: Eukaryota; Metazoa; Arthropoda; Insecta; Hymenoptera; Apidae.
CGUUAUAUAACAUUAAAAUCAUAAAAGAAAAAAAUCAUCGUGCAUAUAUUCACGAUUUUAUUUAUUAUUUAAAUUAUAAUCAAUAUCAAGUAUGAUGUAAUAUUAAUAAAUAGUUAAAAAUGUUAAACGAUCGUCUUUAUGGAGAUAGUCGAUAAAGGAAAUGACGAAUCGAAAAAUUGGCGCGCAUUUACAUCUUUCGUAACGAGAUUCGACUCGUGGAAGAAACGCAAAAUAAUCGCGCAAUCGGCAAAGGUACUUGUUUGCCGUUCGCAUUUGAACCGAUGUUAUAUCAUUUUCUUGCACGAUGAACGUUGGCUAGAUCGUCUGAGAUCGAGCCAAUAAGAACCUUGAAACGAUUUUCCUGUCAAAACUCGAUUAAUUCGAUUAUUGGAUUCAAGGUUCAAUUAUAUUCGAUCGAAGCCAAAUAAUUAAGCGAAAGCUUGUUAAUUUUUUUUUUUCGCUUUUGUAAACUUUUGACAAAGGGAAUAUACAUUUUUCAUAGAUAGACAUUGCUUGCACGAUCCUCCCCGUUACAGUAUAUACAUAGUUAUCGCUGCAAGAGGAAAGAAACCAAGAAGAAUCGUAAGAAUCACGUGUGAGCCCGGUCGAUUAUUUGACGAACACGUUGCGAUCACGCGGCUUCGUCUCUGCGCUACGUCUCGCCAUCGGAGUUUCACGAUCCGCCCCGAAUCGAGCCGCCUAGCCUGAACAACCAGAUGGCUCUGUAUAGUAUAUGUACAAUCUCGAUGGAAAUGUAUCGUAUCCUCCUUUCACGAUCGCCUCGAAAGUAACGCGAUUUCAUAUUAAAUUCUCUCGACCCGCGACUCGAGCCAAUUAGAUCGAAAUAUUGCCGCAAUUCAGUGCAAUUAAAAGGUUUUCGCCGUUCUAAUUAAGCAGUAUAUACAUUCGGAUUAAACGAAAUGAUUUUUUUUUCUUUUUCCGUUAAGAAUUUAUCGUAUCUUCGAAAUAUGCUUCGAGCGUGAUACAAUAAUAGCUUAAAUCCUUAAAGUAAAUCUUCAAUAAUUGAAUGUUUCGCAAUGAGUUUUCUUCGUGAAAUUUUUAAAAAGGAAAUUCAAUCGAAUGAACUUGAUCGGAAAUAAAACAUGUGUAAAUUUAUCUACAUUGCGAUACGCAUUUACAUACUUCUAAUAUCAUAUGAUGUACUACAAAGAAUAAAAGUUUGCCUGGACUAUGGAAUCAUGUGAAUGUUAUUGUUUUAUCGUUCGAGUAAUCCGUCGGAAUAUUUCUAUAUUUCUAUCUGUGACACUAUCUAAACGGAACUACAUUGAACUGAUACACUACACUGUGCAACCGCAAUUAAUCGGCCAAAAAAAAAAAAAGAAAAUUUGAUUAG